AAGGAAUAUUGGUCAAUGGACGCAAGUCUGAACCAGCCAUGCCGCGUGAAGGAUGAAGGUCCUCUGGAUUGUAAACUUCUUUUAUCUGGGACGAAAACGGGAUUUUUAUCUCAAUUGACGGUACCAGAGGAAUAAGCACCGGCUAACUCCGUGCCAGCAGCCGCGGUAAUACGGAGGGUGCGAGCGUUAUCCGGAUUUACUGGGUUUAAAGGGUGCGUAGGUGGGCUUAUAAGUCAGUGGUGAAAUCUCCGAGCUUAACUUGGAAACUGCCGUUGAUACUAUAGGUCUUGAAUUAUCUGGAGGUAAGCGGAAUAUGUCAUGUAGCGGUGAAAUGCUUAGAUAUGACAUAGAACACCAAUUGCGAAGGCAGCUUGCUACAUAUAAAUUGACGCUGAGGCACGAAAGCGUGGGGAUCAAACA
Molecule: ribosomal RNA, 420 nt
Filed under: uncultured bacterium
Lineage: Bacteria
Description: bacterial SSU rRNA
Rfam family: Bacterial small subunit ribosomal RNA
Source: RNAcentral